Molecule: ribosomal RNA, 196 nt
Filed under: uncultured Actinomycetales bacterium
Lineage: Bacteria; Bacillati; Actinomycetota; Actinomycetes; Actinomycetales
Description: partial 16S ribosomal RNA
Rfam family: Bacterial small subunit ribosomal RNA
Source: RNAcentral
CUUUGGGAUAACUCCGAGAAAUCGGGGCUAAUACUGGAUAUGACCUUGGCCCGCAUGGGUUGUGGUGGAAAGUUUUUCGGUGGGGGAUGGGCUCGCGGCCUAUCAGUUUGUUGGUGAGGUAGUGGCUCACCAAGGCGAUGACGGGUAGCCGGCCUGAGAGGGCGACCGGCCACACUGGGACUGAGACACGGCCCAG